Non-coding RNA from Benincasa hispida (wax gourd), 997 nucleotides. Lineage: Eukaryota; Viridiplantae; Streptophyta; Magnoliopsida; Cucurbitales; Cucurbitaceae. The record is from RefSeq and is a predicted model, not a curated record.
AAUGAAAAAAAAAAAAAGUAAAUUAAAUUUACUUUUCUCUCUCUCCUCAACCCACACGCACAAAACCUUUAUUUUUUCCUUCCCUUUUUCUUCUUCUUUUCAUUCUUCUUUUCCUUCCUGCCCUAGCUGCCAACACCUUCCAGUCGCCUCCGUCCGCCUUCUAGCCGCCAGCCUUGCCGUUCUGGUGCUGCCGCAAGCAACGUCGUCGAAUCUCCUCGUUAGCGCCGUUGCAAGCAGCCUCACCUCCCCGGAUCUCCUCGCCAGCACCAGCGCAAGCAGUGCCUCGCCGUUCCGUUGUCGCUGCCGUGAGUUCCAGCUGCCGCGAGCAGCGUCGCCUCCUUGUCAUUCCAUUCGCCGCCUCUGCCUUUUUGAGAUUGGGUAAGAUUAGAUUGUUUUGAGCAAGGUUUGGUGUUGAGUCUUUUUAAAGUGCCUUUUGGUGUUGGAAACGAUUUUAGUGUUACCCAUUGUGUCGACUUUCAAGAUUUGGAUUUCGAGGCGUUGCUAACAAAGAAAGAACCAUUCUCUUCAUCGAAGAGUUUCAGUUUUGAUUGGCUACUUGAAUCAAGUUUUGAAAUUUGUCUUGGAUCAAGCCACAACUUUGGAUUGAUUCAAGUUUUCCAAAGGUUUUAAGGAAUUAUUUGUGUGGACUUUUGUGACCAAGUUGAGGUAAGUGAUACUAUUACUGGUGCUUUCGUGCCAGGCAAUCUAGAUUAGACCUAUCAAGUUACUUGGUUGACUCUGGAGCAUGAUUUUGUUUGAUAUUAUGUUUUGCUACUUGCAUGGUGGCUACAAGUAUUAUGAGUAUGUUAAAAUUAUAAUCAGUACUGAUAUUAUGUAUGUGAUGCAUGAAUAGACCAGUAGAGCGGUUUAUUGUCUUGCCUUGACGCGUGUUAUUACUAUGUUUGACGGUGUGCCUACGGGCCGCUAGACAUGCGUGAACCGACAGGUUAACGUUCAUGUUAUUAUCAUGUUUGACGGUGUGCCUACGGGCCGUUAG